Molecule: ribosomal RNA, 408 nt
Filed under: Branchiomma sp. 2 SMB-2010
Lineage: Eukaryota; Metazoa; Annelida; Polychaeta; Sabellida; Sabellidae
Description: partial 16S ribosomal RNA
Rfam family: Bacterial large subunit ribosomal RNA
Source: RNAcentral
ACGGCCGCAGUAUACCUGACUGUGCAAAGGUAGCAUUACUCCUUGCCUUUUAAUUGAUGGCCUGCAUGAAUGGAUCUACGAGGCUUGGACUCUAUCCCCUCUAUGCCCCGAAAUUAAUAUCUAGGUGAAAACGCCUAGAUACACCUGAAAGACAAAAAGACCCUAUUGAGCUUUACUAGACGGUAUUCUUACUAUACCUACCAGUUUAGUUGGGGCAACUAUAGAUCAACCUAGCAUCACUGCUUCCCUCAGACUCUAAGUCACUUUCACGACCCUCCAGGAUCAUAAGAAAUAGUUACCAUAGGGGUAACAGGCUAAUUUCUUUUAAGAGCACAAAUUGACAAAGAAGUUUGGCACCUCGAUGUUGGCUCAGGGAUUCCUCUUGGUAGCAGAAGCCAUCAGGGUAGG